UACGUAGGGAGCAAGCGUUGUCCGGAAUCAUUGGGCGUAAAGCGCACGUAGGCGGCCCUGUAAGUCCGCUGUGAAAGUCAAAGGCUCAACCUUUGAAAGCCGGUGGAUACUGCAGGGCUAGAGUCCGGAAGAGGCGAGUGGAACUCCUGGUGUAGCGGUGGAAUGCGCAGAUAUCAGGAAGAACACCCGUGGCUAAGGCGGCUCUCUAGUACGGUACUGACGCUGAGACGCGAAAGCGUGGGGAGAGAACAGG
Molecule: ribosomal RNA, 253 nt
Filed under: uncultured bacterium
Lineage: Bacteria
Description: partial 16S ribosomal RNA
Rfam family: Bacterial small subunit ribosomal RNA
Source: RNAcentral